RNAcentral lists this ribosomal RNA (868 nucleotides) under Staphylococcus gallinarum. RNAcentral's name for it is "bacterial SSU rRNA". It matches the Rfam family "Bacterial small subunit ribosomal RNA", at positions 23 to 872 of the family's 1533-position model. Lineage: Bacteria; Bacillati; Bacillota; Bacilli; Caryophanales; Staphylococcaceae. The record is from RNAcentral.
CUCAGGAUGAACGCUGGCGGCGUGCCUAAUACAUGCAAGUCGAGCGAACAGAUAAGGAGCUUGCUCCUUUGACGUUAGCGGCGGACGGGUGAGUAACACGUGGGUAACCUACCUAUAAGACUGGAAUAACUCCGGGAAACCGGGGCUAAUGCCGGAUAACAUAUAGAACCGCAUGGUUCUAUAGUGAAAGAUGGUUUUGCUAUCACUUAUAGAUGGACCCGCGCCGUAUUAGCUAGUUGGUAAGGUAAUGGCUUACCAAGGCGACGAUACGUAGCCGACCUGAGAGGGUGAUCGGCCACACUGGAACUGAGACACGGUCCAGACUCCUACGGGAGGCAGCAGUAGGGAAUCUUCCGCAAUGGGCGAAAGCCUGACGGAGCAACGCCGCGUGAGUGAUGAAGGGUUUCGGCUCGUAAAACUCUGUUAUUAGGGAAGAACAUAUGUGUAAGUAACUGUGCACAUCUUGACGGUACCUAAUCAGAAAGCCACGGCUAACUACGUGCCAGCAGCCGCGGUAAUACGUAGGUGGCAAGCGUUAUCCGGAAUUAUUGGGCGUAAAGCGCGCGUAGGCGGUUUCUUAAGUCUGAUGUGAAAGCCCACGGCUCAACCGUGGAGGGUCAUUGGAAACUGGGAAACUUGAGUGCAGAAGAGGAAAGUGGAAUUCCAUGUGUAGCGGUGAAAUGCGCAGAGAUAUGGAGGAACACCAGUGGCGAAGGCGACUUUCUGGUCUGUAACUGACGCUGAUGUGCGAAAGCGUGGGGAUCAAACAGGAUUAGAUACCCUGGUAGUCCACGCCGUAAACGAUGAGUGCUAAGUGUUAGGGGGUUUCCGCCCCUUAGUGCUGCAGCUAACGCAUUAAGCACUCCGC